CCUACGGGAGGCAGCAGUAGGGGAUAUUGCACAAUGGGCGAAAGCCUGAUGCAGCGACGCCGCGUGAAGGAAGACGGUCUUCGGAUUGUAAACCGCUGUCAUUAGGGAGGAAAAUGACGGUACCCAAAGAGGAAGCUCCGGCUAACUACGUGCCAGCAGCCGCGGUAAUACGUAGGGAGCCAGCGUUAUCCGGAAUUACUGGGUGUAAAGGGUGCGGGGGGGGGAGGGAAAGUAGAAUGUUAAAUGCAGCGGCACAAACGGUGGCUGCUAUCUAAACUGCCGUUCUUGAGGGAAGUAGUGGCAGGUGGAAUUCCUAGUGUAGCGGUGAAAUGCGUAGAUAUUAGGAGGAACACCAGUGGCGAAGGCGGGCUGCUGGGCUUUAACUGACGCUGAGGCUCGAAAGCGUAGGGAGCAAACAGGAUUAGAUACCCCGGUAGUC
RNAcentral lists this ribosomal RNA (439 nucleotides) under uncultured bacterium. Its description in RNAcentral is "partial 16S ribosomal RNA". It matches the Rfam family "Bacterial small subunit ribosomal RNA", at positions 338 to 795 of the family's 1533-position model. The record is from RNAcentral.